Molecule: ribosomal RNA, 229 nt
Filed under: uncultured bacterium
Lineage: Bacteria
Description: partial 16S ribosomal RNA
Rfam family: Bacterial small subunit ribosomal RNA
Source: RNAcentral
GCAAGUCGAACGAUAAGCUACUUCGGGUGGUGGACAGUGGCGGACGGGUGAGUAACGCGUGGGCACCUGCCUUUUGGUACGGAACAACAGUUGGAAACGACUGCUAAUACCGUAUAUUCCCUACGGGGGAAAGAUUUAUCGCCGAAAGAUGGGCCCGCGUUAGAUUAGCUAGUUGGUGAGGUAAUGGCUCACCAAGGCGACGAUCUAUAGCUGGUUUGAGAGGAUGAUC